RNAcentral lists this ribosomal RNA (371 nucleotides) under Vexillum pagodula. Its description in RNAcentral is "partial 12S ribosomal RNA". The record is from RNAcentral. Lineage: Eukaryota; Metazoa; Mollusca; Gastropoda; Neogastropoda; Costellariidae.
UCUUGGAAAUAAAAAGAAAAAUCUACCAGAGUACUACGAAUAAAAAAUUUAAAACUCAAAGAGCUUGGCGGUGCUUUAGACUUUUCAGGGGAACCUGUCUUGUAAUCGACAAUCCACGCUAUACCUCACCUUUUCUUGCAUACAAUUUGUAUACCGUCGUCGUCAGGUAACUUUUAAAAUUCUAAUAGUUAGCAAGAAAGUUUAAAGAAUAAACUUAAACGUCAGAUCAAGGUGCAAUCAAUGAGAAGGUUAAGAUGGGUUACAAUUAUAAAAAUAAUAAUACGAAAAAUUAGUUGAAAUACUACUUUAAAGGAGGACUUGAAAGUAAAAUGAAUAUAUACAUAUUAUUUGAAUAAAGCUCUGAAGCGUGC